Molecule: ribosomal RNA, 429 nt
Filed under: Chloroflexota bacterium
Lineage: Bacteria; Bacillati; Chloroflexota
Description: Chloroflexi bacterium partial 16S ribosomal RNA
Rfam family: Bacterial small subunit ribosomal RNA
Source: RNAcentral
UGGGGAAUAUUGCACAAUGGGCGCAAGCCUGAUGCAGCCAUGCCGCGUGUGUGAAGAAGGCCUUCGGGUUGUAAAGCACUUUCAGCGGGGAGGAAGGCGUUAAGGUUAAUAACCUUGGCGAUUGACGUUACCCGCAGAAGAAGCACCGGCUAACUCCGUGCCAGCAGCCGCGGUAAUACGGAGGGUGCAAGCGUUAAUCGGAAUUACUGGGCGUAAAGCGCACGCAGGCGGUCUGUCAAGUCGGAUGUGAAAUCCCCGGGCUCAACCUGGGAACUGCAUUCGAAACUGGCAGGCUAGAGUCUUGUAGAGGGGGGUAGAAUUCCAGGUGUAGCGGUGAAAUGCGUAGAGAUCUGGAGGAAUACUGGUGGCGAAGGCGGCCCCCUGGACAAAGACUGACGCUCAGGUGCGAAAGCGUGGGGAGCAAACAGG